Molecule: transfer RNA, 65 nt
Filed under: Acanthosaura lepidogaster
Lineage: Eukaryota; Metazoa; Chordata; Lepidosauria; Squamata; Agamidae
Description: tRNA-Lys
Source: RNAcentral
CAUUAGGAAGCUUGCAACAGCACUAGCCUUUUAAGCUAGAAAAGGAUUUCCCCCUCCCCCAAUGC